UGGGGAAUAUUGGGCAAUGGGCGAAAGCCUGACCCAGCAACGCCGCGUGAAGGAAGAAGGUUUUCGGAUCGUAAACUUCUAUCCUUGGUGAAGAUAAUGACGGUAGCCAAGAAGGAAGCCCCGGCUAACUACGUGCCAGCAGCCGCGGUAAUACGUAGGGGGCAAGCGUUGUCCGGAAUGAUUGGGCGUAAAGGGCGCGUAGGCGGCCUGGUAAGUCUGGAGUGAAAGUCCUGCUUUUAAGGUGGGAAUUGCUUUGGAUACUGCUGGGCUUGAGUGCAGGAGAGGUAAGUGGAAUUCCCGGUGUAGCGGUGAAAUGCGUAGAGAUCGGGAGGAACACCAGUGGCGAAGGCGACUUACUGGACUGUAACUGACGCUGAGGCGCGAAAGUGUGGGGAGCAAACAG
RNAcentral lists this ribosomal RNA (403 nucleotides) under uncultured bacterium. Its description in RNAcentral is "bacterial SSU rRNA". It matches the Rfam family "Bacterial small subunit ribosomal RNA", at positions 355 to 775 of the family's 1533-position model. The record is from RNAcentral.